GAUGAAGAACGCAGCGAAAUGCGAUAAGUAAUGCGAAUUGCAGAAUUCCAGUGAGUCAUCGAAUCUUUGAACGCACAUUGCGCCCUUUGGUAUUCCGAAGGGCAUGCCUGUUCGAGCGUCAUUAUCAUCCCUCAAGCCCUCGGCUUGGUGUUGGACGGUUUGGUGGAGGCCCCCUCGGGGGCUCCUGCCCCUCCCAAAGACAAUGACGGCGGCCUCGUUGGACCCCCGGUACACUGAGUUCUUCACGGGACACGUAUCGGACACAUGGGUUUACGGGACACGGUCUGCCUCCCCUCAGGGAGAAUCUUUCUAAGGUUGACCUCGGAUCAGGUAGGGAUACCCGCUGAACUUAAGCAUAUCAAUAAGCGGAGGA
Molecule: unclassified non-coding RNA, 373 nt
Filed under: soil metagenome
Description: partial contains 5.8S ribosomal RNA, internal transcribed spacer 2, and large subunit ribosomal RNA
Rfam family: 5.8S ribosomal RNA (bases 1-121)
Source: RNAcentral